RNAcentral lists this long non-coding RNA (402 nucleotides) under Helianthus annuus (common sunflower). The record is from RNAcentral. Lineage: Eukaryota; Viridiplantae; Streptophyta; Magnoliopsida; Asterales; Asteraceae.
CAGCCACACGCCUAUACCCGAUUUCUGAAAAUUUUUAGUAAAAGCUUACCUUUUUGUCUUCAUCUUCUGUUCUAAUUUAACCUCAACAAAAACUCUAUAAUUACAACACCAAUAAUCAAUUAUGAGGAUUCCAUCUCCUAUCAUAUACAAAACACUCUUAUAAUAUUAUCAUUACUUGAUCAAUAUUCCAAACAAAUUCAAAAUGUUUGAAACAGAGGAUUAGAAGUUGCAAAAACAACCUUAAUACCUCCAAUGUAUCGUACGUUACCAGACUAUAUGGGACAACUUGAUAACCUCAACAUCAAACCAAGUAUAUACCUUUUAACCAUUUUCCCAUCCAUUCAGAAUAAAUCGGUAAAUAACCAAAAUAAACCAACACAUCACAUGUUUCGUAAAAACUGA